UUCCGGUUGAUCCUGCCGGAAGCCACUGCUAUUGGGAUCCGACUAAGCCAUGCGAGUCGAGAGGGUUCGGCCCUCGGCAGACUGCUCAGUAACACGUGGGUAAUCUACCCUUAGGUGGAGGAUACUCUCGGGAAACUGAGAAUAAUACUCCAUAGAUCCAGGAUGCUGGAAUGCACCUAGAUUGAAAGUUCCGGCGCCUAAGGAUGAGUCUGCGGACUAUCAGGUAGUAGUCAGGGUAAAGACCUGACUAGCCUACGACGGAUACGGGUUGUGAGAGCAAUAGCCCGGAGACGAUAUCUGAGACACGAUAUCGGGCCCUACGGGGCGCAGCAGGCGCGAAAUCUUCACAAUGUGCGAAAGCACGAUGAGGGGAUCCCAAGUGUUGGUUCGUAAGAAUCAUCUGUUUCUUUGUCUAAAAAACAGAGAGAGUAAGAGCUGGGUAAGACGGGUGCCAGCCGCCGCGGUAAUACCUGCAGCUCAAGUGGUGGCCGCUAUUAUUGGGCCUAAAACGUCCGUAGCCGGUUUAGUAAAUGCUUGGGUAAAUUGUGUAGCUCAACUAUACGAAUACCGAGUAGACUGCUGAACUUGGGACCGGGAGAGGCUAGAGGUACUCCUAGGGUAGAGGUGAAAUUCUGUAAUCCUAGGGGGACCACCAGUGGCGAAGGCGUCUAGCUAGAACGGGUCUGACGGUGAGGGACGAAGCCCUGGGGCGCAAACCGGAUUAGAUACCCGGGUAGUCCAGGGUGUAAACGCUGCUCGCUUGAUGUUAGUUGGGCUCCGAGCCCAACUAGUGUCGGAGAGAAGUUGUUAAGCGAGCUGCCUGGGAAGUACGGUCGCAAGGCUGAAACUUAAAGGAAUUGGCGGGGGAGCACAGCAACGGGUGGAGCGUGCGGUUUAAUUGGAUUCAACGCCAGA
RNAcentral lists this ribosomal RNA (915 nucleotides) under uncultured archaeon. RNAcentral's name for it is "bacterial SSU rRNA". It matches the Rfam family "Archaeal small subunit ribosomal RNA", at positions 1 to 922 of the family's 1478-position model. The record is from RNAcentral.